This 115-nucleotide ribosomal RNA is filed under the name Nanobdellota archaeon. Lineage: Archaea; Nanobdellati; Nanobdellota. The record is from RNAcentral.
GAAGACAGCCAUAAUAGGUUGGAAAUACCUGUUCCCAUUCCGAACACAGCAGUCAAGCUUCCUAUGUUAAUAAUAGUAGUGCCCGAAAAGGCGCAAAAUUAUUAAGCUGUCUUUC